CCCUUAGAUGUUCUGGGCUGCACGCGCGCUACACUGAAGCGUUCAACGAGUAUUCACCUUGCCCGGGAGGGUUGGGUAAUCUUUUGAAAACGCUUCGUGAUGGGGAUAGAUUAUUGCAAUUAUUAAUCUUCAACGAGGAAUUCCUAGUAAACGCAAGUCAUCAGCUUGCAUUGAUUACGUCCCUGCCCUUUGUACACACCGCCCGUCGCACCUACCGAUUGAAUGGUCCGGUGAAAUCUCGGGACGGCGGCUUGGUCGCUUGCGUCCGACUGCUGAAACUUGAUUAAACCAUAUCAUUUAGAGGAAGGUGAANUCGUANCA
Molecule: ribosomal RNA, 321 nt
Filed under: uncultured eukaryote
Lineage: Eukaryota
Description: partial 18S ribosomal RNA
Rfam family: Eukaryotic small subunit ribosomal RNA
Source: RNAcentral